RNAcentral lists this long non-coding RNA (1963 nucleotides) under Sus scrofa (pig). RNAcentral's name for it is "lncRNA (ENSSSCG00050023585.1)". Lineage: Eukaryota; Metazoa; Chordata; Mammalia; Artiodactyla; Suidae. The record is from RNAcentral.
GGGCUGGAAAUUGUUUGUCAGCUGAAGGGGCAUGAGACCGGGAACGUGUGUCUGCUGGAGCCGUGGACACUGAAGCCCGAUUGCCCCGGAGUGAGCGCCGAGGGGGAGGCCUAGAAAUCGGGGAGGCAGGUGGUCUUGUCAGGGCGUCUGGCUGUAGUGGUUAGGGAGAGAUAGGGGGCCACAACUGAGAUGGAGCAAGUGGAGGCUGAGCUCAGGAGGAGGAUUCCUAGGAUGGGAGAGAUUGGAGCUUGUCCCAAUGCUGGGCAGGCAGGCAGAAUCCUGAGAGGGACUGGAGAGGGGCUGUUAACCGUGUCAGGUUCCGAGAAGCAGGGAGGGGUGGAAGGGGUGGUCUGGGAUGGGAGGAAGCAGAGCGGGGAUGCCGAUGGGGAUGGGGUUCGGGGCUGGCGAGGGAGCUGAGGGAGUUCCCAUCUUUGGGCUUCAGCUUUUUCUGAAGGCGCAGGUUGGGUGGUGCAGAGGUGACGGAGGUGGAAGAGGGGCUGAGUAGCAGAGGGAGCCAAGCAGUGAGAUGCAGUAGGAUCGCUGGACAGUCUUGAGGGCUGGUUUGUAGCUGGUGCUACCUAGUCUGCCUUUCUAACAAGCCAGUCUUAUUUGUUUAAUUACCCUGUGGCCUGUGGUCUAGCAGGAGGUAAUGUGCUGAAUGCUUUUUCUUUAGAUAAAUGUUAAUUUUCUAGGGAAGUCCUAAAUUCACACCCUUUUUCCUCCGUGAGUUCCAGGGUUGGUUUGAGCCACCUGGAAGCAAGCUCGGAGGGAUGGGGCAGUUUUGUUGCGGCUGAGACUUUUUUUCGGUCUGAGAAGCCCUCCUCUCCCUUCCUGGCAGGGAAAUGCAGGAAGGAAGCAUCAAGAAACUAUUGAGAUUGGCUGGUCAGUCAGCUUUAAGGUGUGGCUUUUUACAGUUUUUUCCAAACAAGUUCUUAGGGCCCCCAGACACCCAUAGUAUAAAAUGUGAACACACGUCCUUUCUGUGGGCAGAUAUGUUACUUUGGAUGCUCCAUAUCUUUAGUGCAGUCUAUUCCCAGUGGAUUUGAUGGUAAUAUUGACAUCAGCUGUGGUGUUUGUCAAAAGCCCUGUGUUGUCACCUCUCUCAUUCCCCCUCGCUGACCGUAAAGGCGAGGUUGGGAGCAUGGGGUGUUGUUGCUUUCUAGUCCCAGGACCCGCCCCCCACCAUGGAGUUGGCCGUGGCUGUCCUGAAGGACCUACUCCGCUAUGCGGCCCAGCUUCCUACACUCUUCCGGGACAUCUCCAUGAACCACCUCCCUGGCCUUCUCACCUCCCUGCUGGGCCUCAGACCGGAGUGUGAACUCUCUGCACUGGAAGGAAUGAAGGCUUGUAUGACGUAUUUUCCCCGGGCGUGUGGAUCUCUCAAAGUAAGUAUUCAUGGAAGCUCCUCUCCCGCCCAGCAUAAACCUUGGUAGCUGUCUCACCUCAGAUUCCGAUGCUGAGGUUUUAGGUACCUGUCUUCUGAUUAUUGUCACCUAUCUCCACAGCUGUAAUUAUGCCACCUCGUGGCCUUAAAUGCAUUCUCACUUAAUUGUCAUAGAUACAUUGAAAUUAAGUAACUUGCUUAAGGUCUGAUGCCAAAGCCAGGCUCUUACCCCUGGAUGCCUUCCUUUUUCUGCCCUGCCUUCUCUGUACCUCUAGAAUGCCUGCCCAUUUUUUAUUUUGUUUUAUUUUGUUCCUAAAGCUCUUGUAAUUUCCUCCGGGAAGGCUUCCUGAUUUACUUCUUCCCUAGAUCAACUUCUCCAGCACUUUCUGCGCCUUAUAUUCCUAAUUUCCCUCCAUGACUUCCCUACCCUGUCCCCCGAAUUGUCAUGAUCAAUACAGAGGUGGCUGUGCAGCAGGGCCUUAGCAGGUCAGAGAGGCAGGGUGGAGAUGGGUCAGGUGUGGGAGGAGGGAGGUCAGUGAGAAAAUCUGAGUUUUGUUUUCAAGGAGAUUCACAAAAAAA